UUCCCAGAAGGUAUCCUUCUGGCAAGGGUACUGUACUAAACUAACUAAAGUGGGGGAUAGUGAGGGGAUAAAUUUUCUUAAGGAACUCGGCAAAAUCCCAAUGGCCCACCAGGGCAUAUUGGAACACGGGCCUCGACUGUUUACCAAAAACAUAGCCCUCGGCCAAUAUGAAAAUAGAUGUAUAGAGGGUGAUGCCUGCCCAAUGGUUGUAUCUAAAAGCAGUUGAUAAAAGUCGACCUCGUAAGGACAAUUGAAUGGCCGCGGUAACACUGACCGUGAUAAUGUAGCGUAAUCAAUAGCCAAUUAAUUGUUGGCCAGUAUGAAUGGCGCCACGAAGGCCCCACUGUCUUAAGGAAAUUCCCAGUGAAAUUGAAUUCGUAGUGAAGAUGCUACGUCCAAUUUGUUAGACGAAAAGACCCCGUUGAGCUUUACUGGGGCACUUACACGGCCCUCGGCCUUCCCGUGCCCGGGAACCGGCCG
This 480-nucleotide ribosomal RNA is filed under the name Palythoa cf. variabilis 418. RNAcentral's name for it is "partial 16S ribosomal RNA". It matches the Rfam family "Bacterial large subunit ribosomal RNA", at positions 1606 to 2153 of the family's 2925-position model. Lineage: Eukaryota; Metazoa; Cnidaria; Anthozoa; Zoantharia; Sphenopidae. The record is from RNAcentral. RNAcentral also lists the same sequence under 3 other names.